CCGCUGGAGUGGGGUUGCAGAGUGGGGGAGGGCGGUGGGCAGCUCACAUUCAGGCAUUCAGGGCUUGAAAGGAACGGCUUAGGGAGCCUGACACAGGCCCAGCUCCUCCCACUCUUCAGGAGGCUGGGAUACCGAACCCCAGCUCGCGCACAGAGCCAGCGGGCAGGGCUUAGGGCCAGCUGCCUGCAUCCGGCUCAGCCACCAGCCUUUUUGUUCGCUUCCCCCGCCCCCUUUUUGUUUGGGUGGGGGGGCACUUUUAUUAAUUCUUACUUAUCCCCCAUCUUUGCAUUCGAGAGAGUUCGAAAGUCACUUUAAUUUUCAGGCUCCCCGUCUUUGAGUCCUGAUUACCUCUGGGAGUAUAGCGAAGGGAGGAGGUCCUGAGAAUUUAGUGUAAGACUUUAGAAACUUAGACACAGUUCGUGUGCAGGCACACGCGGACUCUCUCUCUCUCUCUCUCUCUCUCUCUCUCUCUCUCUCACACACACACACACACACACACACACUCACACACACACACACUCAUGACCACAAUCACUACCACCAUCACAAGAAAGACAGGCACUUUCCACUAGCUUUUAGUUUCUUAAUCGGGCAGGUAAGACCCUUGCCCUGAGCGUCGUUUUCCAGAUGUAAGAAGUCCAAAGAACUGAAAUCCAUCUCUUAACUCACGAUUGUAACACAAACGGCAACGACAAAUCGUAGCGUUAAACACACGUGGAAUGCUGAGCGCUACGACCUAGCUGCAGUCACAGCACAGGGGCCCGAGGUAAACCGACCCGCUACGAGCUCUGAAGUGUACAUUUCAGUUCUUCAGUGUGUUGAAGCAAAGCUGCCGGCAGAGCUGAAGAACAGAACUCUCACAAGCUACCUUAACUGUGGCGCAAAACAGCCUUUGGCCACCAGAGGCACCGCGAGUCUGCGGCCUGUCAAAAACUGGCGCUCUUGGUGAGCCUGUCGAUUCCAUCUGUCACAAAUUUUAAUUUUAAGUCGCUGCCGAAGCAUAGGGUAUCCCAGCUGCAGCGCGCUCAGAAAGUGAACUGUCCCCCUCUCCAAAGAGACAAGGUAUUUGAAAGGGUAAAAGUGAGGGCCAGAGCCAAGACCCAGGUGGAUUAACCUGGCGAUUGGAAAAGGCUUACUGCUCAGGCUGGGGAGUUGUGCCUCUGCAAUCGCCUCAAACCAUGGGAGAACCAGACUGAGCUAUGCGGAGGCUAGCUAUGGUGCUUUGAUUUUUGUAGCGGAAAACAAACGCAAAUAUGUCCUCAAACACUGUGCAGGCAUGCUGCAGCAAGGUUAUUCAUCCCAGGCACAGGCAGGAGGCUCACUGCAAGUUCAAGGCCUGCGGGUUCCAUCUAGUCAGGGCCAGGUUAGACACUUGCUAACAUCCUGAGCAAUCUGUACUUCCAAGCUCCCCUGAAGGCCAGUCCUGAGAUGCAUCUUCAAGUGUGUGUUUGUUUCGGCUUCUUUAGAGAGAUCUCAAAACAGCCCACAGGACAAUCAUCUGGAGACCUUGUGUUCAAUUCUGGAUUCCUGGCUCCUGGAGUCUCAGACAGCUAACCCCCAGGAAUGCCUGGAAGUCUACAUGUCCAGCAAAAUUUAGCAGGGGUACUGUUGCUGUUUAGCUGCUUACUGGGGACAUGCUCUGACCGUCUCUGUUCCGGAGGUUAUAAAAUGGUUCAUUUUUACUACUCAAGUGAAAUCUUAGCCUUGAUAAAAUCUUAGUGGGAGUUAAGGGAGAACAAGAUCUCUGCUCGCCCUGAAGGCCUCUCCAGAGACUCAGGGCCUUGUCAUGGAAGGGGAGAGGAGCUGGCCGCGACCGCAGGCUGUGCUAUCUUACGCAUAGGCCUUUCUGCACCUCAGGCUCCUACUAGUUCUUUGGUAAUGUUCAGUAACUAGAAGUUCACUGUCAAAGAAUGUUCAUAGGACAACAGUCACUUUCGUUUUUGCCACCAGCAAUGACGUGAUCCACAAAGGUGGAAGUUUCUCCGAGAGUCCCUCCCACAGAGAGGAUCCUGUGGAGAGUGCCAUGCAGAUGUCCAUUUGAAGAUCCUAGCUGUGGGCUAGCCUGCAGAUGACGGACGUGCAACCAGUGCCUGCCAGCUGGUACACGAAGAGAAGGGAUUUGGAGUGACAGCUGCCUGUCUCAGACUAGACUCAGCACGCACAACAUACUAUACAGGGCUUACCUGGAGCAACUGGCACGGGGAACCUAGUCUACCAGGGGCCAAAGAAGCCACUGGCUAGGACCGUCAUGACAGGAUGUGGCACACAUGUUGUGUGAAUAUCCACUGGCUAAGACACGCCCACAAGUCUUUGUAUAUAUUACUAAGCACUCUAUUCCGGGAGGAGCCAUUAAAGAGAGAGCCUUGCUGUGGCCAGAGUCAUUGGCUGGCUCACAGACGCAGUAUGAACUGGCCUGAAGGAAAUUCUCUUCAAUGCACUUUUUAUUGGCGAGGUUUAUGAGAUGGAUUCACACACUGUUUGGUGUGGUCAGCACCCCUUGAAGGCAGUCAUAAUGUUGGACCCAGAGUUUAAUGCCUGGACCCCGCCGCCCCCCAGAGUGCCAAGGAUGCCAGGAUGCUGCAGUCCUUCGAUAAUAAAGUGGAGAAGUAGCAUGGGACCUGCACACAUGGCUCUGAACACUCUGAGGACCAUUUCUAUUUCCUAAUCAGAAAGUCACAUUCGUCAGGAUAUUUUAUCUUUUUACCGAUGACAAAACACAGUUUUGACAAUCAACAGUCACACCCUGUGAAUUCUGUAAGCGAAGCGUUACCUUUGCGUUUGCUGUGGUUACACUGCCCCCUGAGGUCCCUGUCCGUGGACCAUAAGCAGUGACACCUUAGGAAGACAGUGGGAAGCUUGAAGAGAUGGACAAAGUGAGCAGUCUUCUGACCCUGACAAGAGUCAAAAACCAGCUGCUCUCCGGAUUUCAGAGGGAGAUGCUAUCCCAGACUGUGGUCAUCCCAGGCUUCCCAAGGCUUUUCCUGCAGCGGCUGUGGAUGAAAACAAGAGCGAGCAAGGGGAGGUGGACAAAUGGAAUGUGUAUGAGUACUGUGUGCUGGCUGCUGGAGAGGGCUUUUCUUCGUUGGUUCCUUGACUUUUGACAUCUGUGGGAAGUGGUCCUAAUUGGAUCUGGAUUAAUUUGAGCCUUUGAUAAAAUAACAUAACGCCAUUCCUACCUCUUCCUCUCUCCAAUCCUGACCCCAAGAAGUUUUAGAAAUGUCUAUAUAUUUGCUUAGUCUCCAGACACCGAGGGCAACCAUGUUCCUCAGCCACAGUGCAGAAGUCUGACCUGCGGCAUUCGGCGAUGUGUCUGUGCUGCCGAGUGUUUUGAGGCCUCUCAGGUUUCCACUCAUCUCCACUCACAGGCUGGACCCAGAGGCCUUGGAGCAGUCUGCUUCUCAGUUUUGAUCUGGUGGUCCGGACAAGAAUCCAGGGCAAGACAAGAUGGCCGCCCGUGCCUAGCCCACACUGCCAGGGUGCUGACUUUCCCUCAGUGGACCAACUUGGAGGGCACAUCUCGAACCAACAAGGAGUACAGAGAAGAGCCAGCCCUUGGUAGCUGACAGGAAGUGCAAAGUUGUAAUGUCAAACCAAAGUUCCCAACCUGUGAAGCUUUCUCGGCCCACAACACUUCAUCUUUAGUCCUGAGAGAACUUUGAGAAGGUACUUAGCUGUUUGCUUUUUAAAUCUUAUCCUUCCUGUCCCGCCUGGUCACAGAGAGCUGCGUGCAGUAGGAAGGGCUUGGCUGUUGUAAUGAUCAAUGCUCAACUCAAAAUCAACCACCUUCAUACCCAGAAGGUAGUUCUCUGGCCAACCAUGAAGGACAGAAGGCGAUGAUAUCGCAGAGUCUAGAAGACCUGUUCACCCUGUAGCAUGGGUGUGCAGCUCGGGGGACUUCAGACACGUGACUCCUUUUCAGUAGGAAUUGGGACUGUGUUACGUUGUGGUAGGGGUCAGACUUGUCUCCGAGAGACCAGGUUCAGGGGUAGUGGGAAAGUUAAUCCAGUCUGAACACGCAGACUGCCCCACUUAGACAAGUGCAGCAAUUCUGGGUACCUAUGGGUCUUCCUGCCUAGAAACCCCUCGCUUAAUUUUGGAUCUUGCAGCCCAUGGUUUUUGGUGGUAAGUGCUGAUUUCAAACACUAAAUCUUUUGUACUGUCACCUAAAAGGGCAGAGCAGGAGCAUGGAAAGGCACAGUCUGCAGAAUGGCUGGGCUGUCUCACUGUGAUGUGUAGGUCUUACCGGAUGUCUUUCUGGGCCACACUCUCUAGUAAGUGGUGCUAAAUCUUACAGAGUGGAAAUAACACAGUGCCUUAGCCUAUCAUGAGAAUCUGGAAAAUAACUUUCUUCUCUUCACCUUUUUUCCUCUUUAUUUCUUUUUUUUUCUGGAAUGUCCUCAUCUCUGAUCUUAAAGAAUUUACUCUAUUUUUUUCAUCCCUAGUCUUUUAUUAUUGUUUGCUUUUUGGAGGUAGUAUCACGGAUGCCGUCUUUGUCCCGCUCGUGAGCCAAACACAGAAUGCCGAUGGCCCUGCUUAAUCUCUUCCAUCUAUGAGCUGGUGACGAUACUUGUGAUCCGUUCGUAAAUGCCACGCAGCUACUCAGUGCCUCGCUUGUUCUCAUUUUGAGGAUUUAGAUCCAGAGCCUUGUGAGCAUUAAAUGGGCAUUCAUGCACGAAGCUCCUGCUCCAGCCUUCAGCAUCAUCCUCUCUGCGCAGAUAACCCAGAUAUCGUGUCCAGGUAGCUAGCAGAGGUCCCGCAAUCUCAGCAAUCCUAGCCCAGUCCAUGAUGAUAAUGAUGAUGAUGAUACUACUAAUAAUAAUGUUUUUCUUCAUUACUGGUUGCCCUAAUGUGUGCACAAUUAUGAACUCUAGAAAUGGAGACAGACGAUGUAAGAGGAAAAAGGUUUUGGCCCUUGCUUUGCUGGGCACAGCACCUGGAGAGUUUGCAGCUGUCCUGCGUCUAUGAGGUGAUGCAUACAAGAAUGGAAACCGGUGUGCUAAUGACGGCGGGGGGUGGGGGAUGCUGGGAAAGAGCCUGGGCCUUGUGUGACAUCGCAGGAUUGUUGAACGAGACCUUGGCCAUUCCCUCUCAUGUUCUUCUCUAUGAAACAGUACAUGUCUCUUAGCUGUAGCUGAAGGACCUCUGCUUCUAGAACCUCGUGAAGAUUUGCAAAUGACACCCGCAGAGAACCCAGCUAGCACUUGCCAUCUAGCAUGCAUCAGGAGUUCUCGAUCGUCCAUGGCAAGGAAGAAAAUAAGGGCUCACACCGGGACCCUUAGCUCCCACCCGGAGGGUGCAAGGUUAUCAUCUUAAGGUGGCGAAAUGCUGCUAAAUGGGAAACCGCAGUGAACAGGCCAUUCUACGGGCACAGCUGGAUCUUCUGCCUCCUUCCCUGGCUGCGCGCGCGUUCGUCAGCUUUUCUUUUCCUUUGACUAAAUUGCUGGAGUUUCAAUCUUUCCCUGGACAAGGACAGCGAGACAGAGGCUGUACUUGAGUCAGUGGUGUGUGCAGAUGAACUGUCUACAGGGUGAAAGACUGAGAGCUGAGCCACGAGCCAGCCUGGUUCCUUCAGAUGCAGUCGACGCUUACGGCCUGAUGCUGGGUCAUACACACCAUUCUUAUGAACAUGGGGCUCAGAGAACCCAGCAGAGAAGAUGUGGGCAUGAGCAUGUGUGAAAAGCUCUUGCUGUCACCCAACAGUGUGGUGUUGGGAAUGACCAGCCCUGAACAACACAGGGAUCGCUAGCAACAAUGGCUUCAGUGACUACAUCCCAUGUCCCAAGCUCUGCCCCAAGUGUUUUGGAUAUGUUGUUUCCUCUAAUCUUCAUCUAUUUCCUUAUCUACCUCUUUAUAGCUGAGCUCUAGUGGUAUUGUCCAAGCUGGCCCUAACUAACCUCUUAGCUCCUAGACCUCCUUCUCGCUCAGCCUCCCUGGAGCUGUGACUUCAGGUCCACACUGUGGUGGUUUUCGUUACAGUUCUGUGCGGUCAGUGCCACUGUCACAGCUAAUUUGGAGAUAAUCCCAUUGAGACCCAAAUGCGCAGUGUGGGGAAUAGCUGGAAUUUACAUCUGAAUCCUUCUAAAUACAAACUCAUCAUCAUAACUAAGUCACUGAAGAGAUUUGAGCUUGAAAGGAGGAAACAAAAAUGGAAUGAAGAGAGCAGGGAAGAGGAAGAGGAAGAGGAAGAGGAAGAGGAAGAGGAAGAAGAAGAAGAAGAAGAAGAAGAAGAAGAAGAAGAAGAAGAAGAAGAAGAAGAAGAAGAAGAAGAAGAAGAAGAAGCGCUCAGCAGGAGCCCAGCUUCACGGAAAAGGGCUUCCCAGAAGGACAUCAGAGCCACAUGGCUCUCAGCUCAUUAACUAAGGUGGAAACUGUGGGGAGGAUAAAGCAGAAAGCAGCCUGGACUGGCACAGCGCCCCAGAAGAGCUUCAGGUUCCCGUGGGAAUGAGACUGGAGGGACCUGGGGGAAUGACCAGAACUGUUUAUCUGCCGAUGUGCUUGACAGUCGCUAAUAAGAGGUUGUCUAGGAGCACAAAGGGUUGUGGUUGGGUACAUCAGACCAGGGGACAUGACAUUCAGAGAGGAGAGGCCAAAUCACACCUUAUUAUUAUUAUUCUAGCACAGAAGAACAGGUGGCUGUCCCAGGUGUGUCAAGCUGACAACCAAGAUAGGCAAGGGUUAAAAGCAUGGGCUGGAGAAGCGCCUUUCUCCAUCGGGCAGCAGUCCGUCCAUGCAGGCACCCACAACUGGUCAAAGUGCUGAGAAAGGGAUCAACCCUAAAUGUACAUCUCUAUCACCUUCCCUGCCACCAGUGCCAAGGGAGCAUCACAGGAGAAGAGGCGUGAGGAAUGCAGGAGCUGUAUGAUGGGGGAGGGCUGUAGAGUGCUCUUCCAGACAUGACAGGGCUGUGGCACUUGUGACCUCACAGCAGCAAUGAUUAUCAUCACAUGACCGACACGAGACCAAGUCAGCCAAAACCCUAGCAUAGACGUUUAGAUGAUCAAUAGGCCUGUUCCAUGCUGAGGCAUGAUUGGCGGAUGGCAGCUGCAGAAGUGGUGAGAAUCUUUAAGAAUGUGGUCCCUGGUGGAUUUCCCAACACUCAUGCCCACUGUGAGCAGCACUAACUGGACUUAGUGGGUUAUGAAAAUAUAAAGUAAGACACUGACUUAGGAGAUGGAGGUGUUGGGGAAGUAUAGAAGGAAGGAAGGGGGAAAUGGAGGCUAGAGCUAAUCAUAUUUCAUUGUGUACAUAUAUAAUAAUCUCAGAGAGUGAAAAAUUAACUAAAAAAUUAAGAGUGAAGAAACACUGUCCAGGGAGACAAAGGAGGUUAACUAAAUGGGACAGGAGUAAGGAAAGGAAGGGUAGCGGCUAUGGGUGAAUGUGCCCAAUACAUAUGUGCAUGACAACUUUAAAAAAUAAAUACGUUUUCAAAAAUGUGAGAUGAGGAACCUGACUUUGGAAGGCAAUGAAGCUGUGGAUCAGAUUUCAAAUGCUUCAUUGUCCCUCUGCAAUGAGAGACAGCUUGGGAAAAGAAUUUAUAGACACUGAGACCAUUGUCAGGGACGAUGGCCCCAGAGGUUUCCACGAGGGUGAAAAUGCCCACUGGAGAUCAAAGCGGGCUGUCCUCAGAGCGGCGUCACAGGGCCAUCCUCUGAAAAGUGACCCACUGUUGGGCUCAGCUCCCUCUAGGAGGCUGAAUUGGAGCCAGCUGGUGUCUGGAACGUAACUCCUGGGUCACUCUCUGGUCUCCGUUUGAAGGCCAACUGCAUGUGAUUACGGGCGACAGAUACAAAGCU
Alexandromys fortis (reed vole) is the source of this 7793-nucleotide long non-coding RNA. RefSeq lists it as uncharacterized. The record is from RefSeq and is a predicted model, not a curated record. NCBI's taxonomy places the organism in Eukaryota, Metazoa, Chordata, Mammalia, Rodentia, Cricetidae. The transcript has 7 exons.